Sinocyclocheilus rhinocerous is the source of this 95-nucleotide long non-coding RNA. RefSeq lists it as uncharacterized. Lineage: Eukaryota; Metazoa; Chordata; Actinopteri; Cypriniformes; Cyprinidae. The record is from RefSeq and is a predicted model, not a curated record. The transcript is spliced from 3 exons.
CUGACCCUCUGUUCUCCUGUGCUUAAGGACUCGUAGUACGGAGAUCCGGCAGCUCGAGUGGUCCGCAGUGUCUGCCGGCCAGCUCUGGAAUCUCC